GACGAACGCUGGCGGCGUGCUUAACACAUGCAAGUCGAACGGUAAGGCCCUUCGGGGUACACGAGUGGCGAACGGGUGAGUAACACGUGGGUGAUCUGCCCUGCACUUCGGGAUAAGCCUGGGGAACUGGGUCUAAUACCGGAUAGGACCACUGGCUGCAUGGGUGGGGGUGGAAAGCUUUUGCGGUGUGGGAUGGGGCCGCGGCCUAUCAGCUUGUUGGUGGGGUGAUGGCCUACCAAGGCGACGACGGGUAGCCGGCCUGAGAGGGUGACCGGCCACACUGGGACUGAGAUACGGCCCAGACUCCUACGGGAGGCAGCAGUGGGGAAUAUUGCACAAUGGGCGCAAGCCUGAUGCAGCGACGCCGCGUGAGGGAUGACGGCCUUCGGGUUGUAAACCUCUUUCAGCACCGACGAAGCGCAAGUGACGGUAGGUGCAGAAGAAGGACCGGCCAACUACGUGCCAGCCGCCGCGGUAA
RNAcentral lists this ribosomal RNA (478 nucleotides) under uncultured bacterium. Its description in RNAcentral is "partial 16S ribosomal RNA". It matches the Rfam family "Bacterial small subunit ribosomal RNA", at positions 28 to 523 of the family's 1533-position model. The record is from RNAcentral.